AGUGAACGCUGGCGGUAGGCCUAACACAUGCAAGUCGAACGGCAGCACAGUAAGAGCUUGCUCUUACGGGUGGCGAGUGGCGGACGGGUGAGGAAUACAUCGGAAUCUACUUUUUCGUGGGGGAUAACGUAGGGAAACUUACGCUAAUACCGCAUACGACCUACGGGUGAAAGCAGGGGAACUUCGGACCUUGCGCGAUUGAAUGAGCCGAUGUCGGAUUAGCUAGUUGGCGGGGUAAAGGCCCACGAAGGCGACGAUCCGUAGCUGGUCUGGGAGGAUGAUAAGCCACCCUGGAACGUGACCACGGUCCAGACUCCUACGGGAGGGCGCAGUGGGGAAUAUUGGGCAAUGGGGGCAAGCCUGGUCCAGCCAUACCGCGUGGGUGAAGAAGGCCUUCGGGUUGGAAAGCCCUUUUGUUGGGAAAGAAAAGCAGCAGGUUAAUACCCCGCUGGUCUGACGGUAACCAAAGAAUAAGCACCGGCUAACUUCGUG
This 492-nucleotide ribosomal RNA is filed under the name uncultured bacterium. RNAcentral's name for it is "partial 16S ribosomal RNA". It matches the Rfam family "Bacterial small subunit ribosomal RNA", at positions 29 to 507 of the family's 1533-position model. The record is from RNAcentral.